UUGCACCUGAUUGAUUUUGGUCGCCAACGAGUGGCGGACGGGUGAGUAACACGUAGGUAACCUGCCCAGAAGCGGGGGACAACAUUUGGAAACAGAUGCUAAUACCGCAUAACAACGUUGUUCGCAUGAACAACGCUUAAAAGAUGGCUUCUCGCUAUCACUUCUGGAUGGACCUGCGGUGCAUUAGCUUGUUGGUGGGGUAAUGGCCUACCAAGGCGAUGAUGCAUAGCCGAGUUGAGAGACUGAUCGGCCACAAUGGGACUGAGACACGGCCCAUACUCCUACGGGAGGCAGCAGUAGGGAAUCUUCCACAAUGGGCGCAAGCCUGAUGGAGCAACACCGCGUGAGUGAAGAAGGGUUUCGGCUCGUAAAGCUCUGUUGUUAAAGAAGAACACGUAUGAGAGUAACUGUUCAUACGUUGACGGUAUUUAACCAGAAAGUCACGGCUAACUACGUGCCAGCAGCCGCGGUAAUACGUAGGUGGCAAGCGUUAUCCGGAUUUAUUGGGCGUAAAGAGAGUGCAGGCGGU
RNAcentral lists this ribosomal RNA (529 nucleotides) under Limosilactobacillus fermentum. RNAcentral's name for it is "bacterial SSU rRNA". It matches the Rfam family "Bacterial small subunit ribosomal RNA", at positions 62 to 579 of the family's 1533-position model. Lineage: Bacteria; Bacillati; Bacillota; Bacilli; Lactobacillales; Lactobacillaceae. The record is from RNAcentral.